AUGGACUGUAGCCCGCCAGGCUCCUCUGUCCAUGGAAUUCUCCAGGCAAGAGUACUGGAGUGGGUUGCCAUGCCCUCCUCCAGGGGAUCUUCCCAACCCAGGAACUGAACCUGGGUCUUCCACAUUGCAGGUUAAAAGUGUGCUUUAAUGCUUCCCGUGGCUCAGUGCUAAAGAAUCUGCCUGCCAAUACAGGAGACACAGGUUUGAUCCCUGAUUCGGGAGGAUCCCACAUGCCACAGAGCAACUAAGCACCACAACUAUUGAGACUGUGCUCUAGAGCCUGGGAACCGCAACUACUGAAGCCCAGCGCUCCCUAGAGACUGUACUCUGCAACAAGAGAAACCACCCCAGUGGGAAGCCCACAUACCGUAAUUAGAGAGUAGCCCCCACUCACCUCAACUAGAGAAAAGCCUGUGUAGCAACAAAUAGCCAGCACAGCCAAAAGUAAAUAAAUAAAUAAAUAAAAAUUGUUUUAAA
Long non-coding RNA from Dama dama (fallow deer), 477 nucleotides. RefSeq lists it as uncharacterized. The transcript has 2 exons. NCBI's taxonomy places the organism in Eukaryota, Metazoa, Chordata, Mammalia, Artiodactyla, Cervidae. The record is from RefSeq and is a predicted model, not a curated record.